CCUACGGGGGGCUGCAGUGGGGAAUAUUGGGCAAUGGGCGAAAGCCUGACCCAGCGACGCCGCGUGGGUGAUGAAGGCCUUCGGGUUGUAAAGCCCUGUCAUGCGGAAAGAACGACCCUGUGACGCAUACUCACAGGGAGUGACGGUACCGCAGGAGGAAGCACCGGCUAACUCCGUGCCAGCAGCCGCGGUAAUACGGAGGGUGCAAGCGUUGUUCGGAAGUAUUGGGCGGGUAGGGUACGUCGGCGGUGAAAUACUCCGGCUCAACCAGAGAACAGCAUCUGAAACUGCAUAACUAGAGUACAGAAGAGGGAAACGGAAUUCCCGGUGUAGAGGUGAAAUUCGUAGAUAUCGGGAGGAACACCAGUGGCGAAGGCGGUUUCCUGGUCUGAUACUGACGCUGAGGCGCGAAAGCGUGGGGAGCAAACAGGAUUAGAUACCCCUGUAGUC
Molecule: ribosomal RNA, 450 nt
Filed under: uncultured bacterium
Lineage: Bacteria
Description: partial 16S ribosomal RNA
Rfam family: Bacterial small subunit ribosomal RNA
Source: RNAcentral